Molecule: ribosomal RNA, 536 nt
Filed under: uncultured archaeon
Lineage: Archaea
Description: bacterial SSU rRNA
Rfam family: Archaeal small subunit ribosomal RNA
Source: RNAcentral
CGCCGCGGGAACACCGGCGGCCCGAGUGGUGAUCGUGAUUAUUGGGUCUAAAGGGUCCGUAGCCGGUUUGGUCAGUCCUCCGGGAAAUCUGAUAGCUCAACUAUUAGGCUUUCGGGGGAUACUGCCAGACUUGGAACCGGGAGAGGUAAGAGGUACUACAGGGGUAGGAGUGAAAUCUUGUAAUCCCUGUGGGACCACCUGUGGCGAAGGCGUCUUACCAGAACGGGUUCGACGGUGAGGGACGAAAGCUGGGGGCACGAACCGGAUUAGAUACCCGGGUAGUCCCAGCCGUAAACGAUGCUCGCUAGGUGUCAGGCAUGGCGCGACCGCGUCUGGUGCCGCAGGGAAGCCGUGAAGCGAGCCACCUGGGAAGUACGGCCGCAAGGCUGAAACUUAAAGGAAUUGGCGGGGGAGCACAACAACGGGUGGAGCCCUGCGGUUUAAUUGGACUCAACGCCGGACAACUCACCGGGGGCGACAGCAAUAUGUAGGCCAAGCUGAAGACUUUGCCUGAAUCGCUGAGAAGUGGUGCAUGG